GGUUGUGGCUCAGAGGUAGAGCGCUCACCUACCACGUGUGGGGCACUGGGUUCGAUCGUCAGCACCA
This 67-nucleotide transfer RNA is filed under the name Marmota monax (woodchuck). Its description in RNAcentral is "tRNA.Gly". The record is from RNAcentral. Lineage: Eukaryota; Metazoa; Chordata; Mammalia; Rodentia; Sciuridae.